UACAGAGGUCCCAAGCGUUGUUCGGAUUCAUUGGGCGUAAAGGGUGCGUAGGUGGCGCUGUAAGUCGGGUGUGAAAUUUCGGAGCUUAACUCCGAAACUGCAUUCGAUACUGCGGUGCUCGAGGACUGGAGAGGAGACUGGAAUUCAUGGUGUAGCAGUGAAAUGCGUAGAGAUCAUGAGGAAGACCAGUGGCGAAGGCGGGUCUCUGGACAGUUCCUGACACUGAGGCACGAAGGCCAGGGGAGCAAACGGG
Molecule: ribosomal RNA, 253 nt
Filed under: uncultured bacterium
Lineage: Bacteria
Description: partial 16S ribosomal RNA
Rfam family: Bacterial small subunit ribosomal RNA
Source: RNAcentral